CUUGAGCGAUCCCAGCCACAACGGCUCGGCCCGGUCCUGCCCGUAGGCGGCCAGCACCGCCCCGGCCUC
Streptomyces sp. 150FB is the source of this 69-nucleotide non-coding RNA. It matches the Rfam family "ASpks TB sRNA". The record is from Rfam. Lineage: Bacteria; Bacillati; Actinomycetota; Actinomycetes; Kitasatosporales; Streptomycetaceae.